AGGGUUCGAUUCUGGCUCAGGACGAACGCUGGCGGCGCGCCUAACACAUGCAAGUCGAACGGAGUUAUUAAGACAGAAGCCUUCGGGUGGAAGAUUUAGUAACUUAGUGGCGGACGGGUGAGUAACACGUGAGGAACCUGCCUUGCAGAGGGGGAUAACAUCUGGAAACGGAUGCUAAUACCGCAUGACACCAUUGGGGGGCAUCCCCUGAUGGUCAAAGAUUUAUCGCUGCAAGAUGGCCUCGCGGUCGAUUAGAUAGUUGGCGGGGUAACGGCCCACCAAGUCGACGAUCGAUAGCCGGACUGAGAGGUUGAUCGGCCACAUUGGGACUGAGACACGGCCCAG
This 345-nucleotide ribosomal RNA is filed under the name uncultured bacterium. RNAcentral's name for it is "bacterial SSU rRNA". It matches the Rfam family "Bacterial small subunit ribosomal RNA", at positions 8 to 334 of the family's 1533-position model. The record is from RNAcentral.